RNAcentral lists this ribosomal RNA (997 nucleotides) under uncultured organism. Its description in RNAcentral is "bacterial SSU rRNA". It matches the Rfam family "Bacterial small subunit ribosomal RNA", at positions 236 to 1263 of the family's 1533-position model. The record is from RNAcentral.
GCCCAUCAGCUAGUUGGUAGGGUAACGGCCUACCAAGGCGAAGACGGGUAGGGGGCGUGAGAGCGUGACCCCCCACACUGGCACUGGGACACGGGCCAGACUCCUACGGGAGGCAGCAGUGAGGAAUAUUGCGCAAUGAGCGAAAGCUAGACGCAGCAACGCCGCGUGGGUGAUGAAGGCCUUCGGGUCGUAAAACCCUUUUCUGGGGGAAGAGUAAGGACGGUACCCCAGGAAUAAGCCUCGGCUAACUAUGUGCCAGCAGCCGCGGUAAUACAUAGGAGGCAAGCGUUAUCCGGAUUUACUGGGCGUAAAGAGCGUUGAGGCGGCUUCGUAAGUUGGACGUGAAAGCUCCCGGCUUAACUGGGAGAGGCCGUUCAAUACUGCGGGGCUUGAGGACAGCAGAGGGGGGUGGAAUUUCCGGUGUAGUGGUGAAAUGCGUAGAUAUCGGAAGGAACACCAGUGGCGAAGGCGGCCCCCUGGGCUGCUCCUGACGCUGAAGGCGAAAGCUAGGGUAGCGAACGGGAUUAGAAACCCCGGUAGUCCUAGCCGUAAACGAUGGAUACUAGGUGUAGGAGGUUAAAACCCCUUCUGUGCCGGAGCUAACGCGUUAAGUAUCCCGCCUGGGGAGUACGGUCGCAAGGCUAAAACUCAAAGGAAUUGACGGGGGCCCGCACAAGCAGCGGAGCGUGUGGUUUAAUUCGAUGCAACGCGAAGAACCUUACCAGGGCUUGACAUGUAGGUAGUAGUGAAGCGAAAGCGGAACGAUCCUUCGGGAAGCCUACACAGGUGCUGCAUGGCUGUCGUCAGCUCGUGCCGUGAGGUGUUAGGUUAAGUCCUGUAACGAGCGCAACCCCUGCCGUUAGUUACAAGUGUCUAACGGGACUGCCCGGCAAAACUGGGAGGAAGGUGGGGAUGACGUCAAGUCAGCAUGGCCUUUAUGUCCUGGGCUACACACACGCUACAAUGGCCGGUACAAUGGGUUGCCAAGCCGCGAGGC